UGGGGAAUAUUGCACAAUGGGCGCAAGCCUGAUGCAGCCAUGCCGCGUGUAUGAAGAAGGCCUUCGGGUUGUAAAGUACUUUCAGCGGGGAGGAAGGUGUUGAGGUUAAUAACCUCAGCAAUUGACGUUACCCGCAGAAGAAGCACCGGCUAACUCCGUGCCAGCAGCCGCGGUAAUACGGAGGGUGCAAGCGUUAAUCGGAAUUACUGGGCGUAAAGCGCACGCAGGCGGUCUGUCAAGUCGGAUGUGAAAUCCCCGUGCUCAACCUGGGAACUGCAUUCGAAACUGGCAGGCUAGAGUCUUGUAGAGGGGGGUAGAAUUCCAGGUGUAGCGGUGAAAUGCGUAGAGAUCUGGAGGAAUACCGGUGGCGAAGGCGGCCCCCUGGACAAAGACUGACGCUCAGGUGCGAAAGCGUGGGGAGCAAACA
This 427-nucleotide ribosomal RNA is filed under the name uncultured bacterium. Its description in RNAcentral is "partial 16S ribosomal RNA". It matches the Rfam family "Bacterial small subunit ribosomal RNA", at positions 355 to 774 of the family's 1533-position model. The record is from RNAcentral.